UGUAAGUAUAGCACUCUAUAGAUUUUUGCUAUCUAACAUCCCACAAGCAGUAGACAACAUCCAGUUUUUUAGAGAAUUAAUGUCGAUCAUAUGCCAUAAUUCAUAUUUUACAUACAAAGGAAGUUUUUACAGGUAAACUCUGGGAAUACAGAUUGGCAGCCCCAUGGCAGGCCCUUUAGUGAAGAUUGUGCUAAGGCAAUUAGAACCUCCAAUUAUAAAGAAAUUCAAACCCUUUAUGAAAUUUUAUAUAAGGUACAUUGUCAAUAUACUGGCCAUCUGGAAAAGUGAAGCUGAAAUAAAGAACCUGGAGGAGGAGUUUACUAUGCCAUUGUAUGGCCUUAAACUGAAGACAACACAGAAGCCUCAGCCAAGAGCAAACUUUUUAGAUAUUAACAUCAAUAUAAUGGGCAAUGGAA
Molecule: long non-coding RNA, 416 nt
Filed under: Androctonus crassicauda
Lineage: Eukaryota; Metazoa; Arthropoda; Arachnida; Scorpiones; Buthidae
Source: RNAcentral